CUGAACAGGGGGGCAGGAGCGGGGGUAAUAGGUAGGUGGCGAGGUUUACUCGGCAGUAGUGGGAGUAAAGGGUGCGGAGGCGGAAGAGCAAGUCGAGUGUGAAAGCGCCGGGCUUAACUUGGGAAUUGCGCUCGAAACUACUUUGCUGGAGUGUGGCAGAGGAAGGUGGAAUUCCACGUGUAGCGGUGAAAUGCGUAGAGAUGUGGAGGAACACCAAUGGCGAAGGCAGCCUUCUGGGCCAACACUGACGCUCAUGCACGAAAGCGUGGGGAGCAAACAGGAUUAGAUACCCCGGUAGUC
RNAcentral lists this ribosomal RNA (300 nucleotides) under uncultured Chitiniphilus sp. RNAcentral's name for it is "bacterial SSU rRNA". The stretch from base 52 to 300 matches the Rfam family "Bacterial small subunit ribosomal RNA", at positions 547 to 795 of the family's 1533-position model. Lineage: Bacteria; Pseudomonadati; Pseudomonadota; Betaproteobacteria; Neisseriales; Chitinibacteraceae. The record is from RNAcentral.